This 251-nucleotide ribosomal RNA is filed under the name uncultured bacterium. RNAcentral's name for it is "partial 16S ribosomal RNA". It matches the Rfam family "Bacterial small subunit ribosomal RNA", at positions 17 to 257 of the family's 1533-position model. The record is from RNAcentral.
GUCUGGCUCAGGAUGAACGCUAGCUACAGGCUUAACACAUGCAAGUCGAGGGGAAACGACAGAGGAAGCUUGCUUCCUUUGGGCGUCGACCGGCGCACGGGUGAGUAACGCGUAUCCAACCUUCCCGCAAGUAAGGGAUAACCCGUAGAAAUGCGGCCUAAUACCUUAUGUUUUCCUUAGAUGGCAUCUGAUGAGGAACAAAGAUCCGUCGCUUGCGGAUGGGGAUGCGUCUGAUUAGUUAGUCGGCGGGG